GAUUGGUUAGUUGUAUGUUGAUAAUGUGUUUAUAAAGGACACAUCUCACUGCUGUUUGAAUAUCAUACCUGCUUCAGAGGACUCACUGAGGUGAUUUACUGCAAAGCCAUCCAAGGUUAUCAAGAAUCAUGAAAUCUUUCUUCAUUGUUGCCUGUGUCAUCGGACUCUGCUGUGUUGUGCUGGCAGAUGAUGAGCAACACAGAGAGAAGCAGAGCAAUUCCUUAGAGGUCAAUUUGCAGUUUUGUGCUCCUGCCCCAGCACCUGCCCCAGCACCUGCCCCUAAACCUACCCAAGCUCCUUGCCCUGCUCCUGCUCC
Molecule: non-coding RNA, 316 nt
Organism: Misgurnus anguillicaudatus (oriental weatherfish)
Lineage: Eukaryota; Metazoa; Chordata; Actinopteri; Cypriniformes; Cobitidae
Source: RefSeq, a predicted model, not a curated record